UACGUAGGUGGCGAGCGUUAUCCGGAAUUAUUGGGCGUAAAGGGAGCGUAGGCGGUUUAUUAAGUCUAAGGUGAAAGUUCGGGGCUCAACCCCGUGACGCCUUAGAAACUGGUAGACUUGAGUACAGGAGAGGUGAGUGGAAUUCCAUGUGUAGCGGUAAAAUGCGUAGAUAUAUGGAGGAACACCAGUGGCGAAGGCGGCUCACUGGCCUGUAACUGACGCUGAGGCUCGAAAGCGUGGGGAGCAAAUA
Molecule: ribosomal RNA, 250 nt
Filed under: uncultured bacterium
Lineage: Bacteria
Description: partial 16S ribosomal RNA
Rfam family: Bacterial small subunit ribosomal RNA
Source: RNAcentral